GGCAACCUUUCUCUCCACAACACCUCUGCCGUUGAGUUAUAACCGUCUCGGUGUUGUGACGUGAAUCGUCUCCCAGCAGAAUGUUUUCCCGCCGUCUAACUUAAUAUUUCACUUUUGUGGAUUUCCGCAGAGAAAGCAGCGACACCGGAGCAGAGAAACACCUCCGGACAGCACGGCACCGUUUAUCUGACUCAUUAUUACUCAUUAAAUCCACUGUUUUUGGAUCAAAGUGCUUUUAAAGACAGAUACUCGGCGAGAUCAACUUUAAAACGAGCGAGCUGAGCAGAAUGAUAAAUGACAGAAGCUCCCAGUGAGCUGCUGUAGCGUGAACUGGCCGCUGGGUGGCAGCACUGACCAGCAGCGUCACUGGGCUCCUUGCAAUGCCUCCUGGGAGCUGGGCUCAUCAUCCAGAUGAGAGGAGGAGCAGCAACAGUUGUCCUGCUUCACUGGUUUCUGUUCUAUUUACAGACUGGUGUGUGCAAGGCUUUAUGGGUACUCGGGACACGGAGGAUACAAACAAACAUCUUUGGAAUUUGGGCAAAAGAAGGACUCUGUCCUCUGGAGGAUCCUGGACAUUGGGACAGUCCUUCAGCUGUUGAUGACUUCGUAUCCUUCAAAUUCAGCCGUUUGCGGAUCCUUCCUUGACUUUGGGAUACAGCUUCUGAGUUGUUUAAUGUGUGGGCGGGGCUGAGAGUGAGGGGGCGGGGCUUGUGUCUCUGACGCGUGAUGAUGCUAUGAUACUUACGUUCUAUUUUAGGAUUUGAUAACGUCAUUCAGUUCCAACCAGUUGACCUGCGUAACUGUAUCUCAAAUCAGACACCGCUCGGCUAGGAUUUUAUCUAAAUUUCACAUUAACUACUAAUAUAAAUGAUCAUGUUAUGCUUCCAAUUAAUUAAAUGGUGUGAAACUAAACUACACACUAACUAAAGUCUAACUUGUUAUUUUUCGAACCAAAAUUUUUUUUUAACCGUGUACGUUAGCCUCGGGUUUACCAGAGCUGGCAAUAGGACGCUAACACCGGUGAAUUAGCCGUGUGCUAACUGUAUCCCAAAUCGGACACUUGGAUCUCCUGCUGUAAAACAAUAAAACAAUAAAACAAUGGGGGCUGCUGAGUUUUUCGGGGGAAAUUGGAUGUUUCUGGGAAAGCCAAAUAAAUAUCACCGUUAUCAACCAUCAUUAUAACACACCUGGACUUCUGACCUUCACAAUAAAAUGCAGUACAGUAAAAAUACAGAUGUAUUCUUAAGAUCGUCACCCAACUGUUCUUACUGCUUUCUCUCAUCAGAUUUUCUUUCAUAUUGUAAUUAGACAUGUAAAUCUCCAUGUACAUAAAUUAAAUUUCACACGUAGAUUUUUAAAUAUAUAUAAAUCAAUUAUACCUACACUGGUGGUGGCGAUCUUAUUCUAAAUGACUGUGAAAACACCGGAAAGUGCGGCAUUGCAGAUGUGUCAGAUUUGGGAUACAGUCUCUUUAAAUCAUUUAGUUUACAGAUAUUUCAGAUAAAUAAACAUGUUCAAAUGUGUGGAACCACUUUAAUGUUUUUUUAAAUAAUUAACUGGUGAAAUAAGUUAUGUAAGGGAUAAUGCCUUUAUUUCAGUAAGGUUUGAAUGCAGCACUUUUACUUGUGUUGGAGUAUUUUCACAGUGUGGUAUUAGUACUUUUACUGCAGUAAAGAUAUGAAUACUUCUUCCACUACUGGUUGCCAUGUAACAUGUCCAGCCUGACAGUAAAUACAUGGUGGACCUCCAGUUAGCAAAGUGGUUUGUUAUUGACGGUGACUGUUUUAUAAAUAUAUUUAAUAUAUAA
Long non-coding RNA from Centropristis striata (black sea bass), 1807 nucleotides. RefSeq lists it as uncharacterized. Lineage: Eukaryota; Metazoa; Chordata; Actinopteri; Perciformes; Serranidae. The record is from RefSeq and is a predicted model, not a curated record. The transcript has 3 exons.